CACGUAGGGUGCGAGCGUUGUCCGGAAUUAUUGGGCGUAAAGAGCUCGUAGGCGGUGUGUCGCGUCGGCCGUGAAAACCUGCAGCUUAACUGUGGGCGUGCGGUCGAUACGGGCAUCACUGGAGUUCGGCAGGGGAGACUGGAAUUCCUGGUGUAGCGGUGAAAUGCGCAGAUAUCAGGAAGAACACCAAUGGCGAAAGCAGCUUUCUGGGACGGUACUGACGCUGAGACGCGAAAGCGUGGGGAGCGAACAGG
Molecule: ribosomal RNA, 254 nt
Filed under: uncultured bacterium
Lineage: Bacteria
Description: partial 16S ribosomal RNA
Rfam family: Bacterial small subunit ribosomal RNA
Source: RNAcentral